Molecule: long non-coding RNA, 1418 nt
Organism: Oreochromis aureus
Lineage: Eukaryota; Metazoa; Chordata; Actinopteri; Cichliformes; Cichlidae
Source: Ensembl
AUGUCUUCUUGCUGCACCUGUUGAUAGGAGAGACCCUUUAGAUACCAGGCAUAUAAAAAGAACAAAGUAAUGAGAUACUCACCUUCUAGUAUCUUGGACGCAACUUGAUUCUCAUCCAUUUGGCAUACGGAUGCUCAGAUUUGCUUGGGUUGAGAUAUUCCAUCUGCUGUGGGGGAGGUGUGGUAGUUUGUGGCACCUGGUCAACCUCUUCGUCACCAAGCCGUCUGAUAGCAUAGCCUCCAAAGUGUUCAGGGACCUCAUAGAUCCUGGUUGGAGCAAAGCGUUGAGCCAAAUUUCCCACCGUGUUACUUCCAUAGGCAGGCAGACUAUGAAGUUCCUGAGCUGGAUUCCUGAUUCCCCAUGGUGCUUGAGGGUUGCUACUGGUGGGCCUCUGGUCUGUGAAGGUGUAGCUGGGUUUGUAGCUCACCAUCAUGUUCGAAGUGGAAGAUGGCAUGUAGCCUAUUUGGGUGUUUCCAGUAUUCACAGGAAGCCAUGUCUCCCCAAAUCCAUGGACAGCGAAGUCUCUAGAGAUACCCAAAGGUUCAGACUUAUGUUGAGUGACCCGUUUUGCAGGAGCGCUUGCUGAUGUUUGCCCCCGUACAACAGCACUGGCGGGUUUCUGGAAAGAGACGCAGAGCUGCUGGAUCCAGCCUUGCUAGUUUGGAGUGUACCACGCUGAAAUGGCCAAGUCAUUUCCUUUCUGCUAUCAGGAAGGCUGUUCUGGUUUUCACCAAGUCUAUUCAGCGAGUUCCUACCUGCAACAGCAGAAAGUCUAAAAGGGGAGCGGUUUGGCACCUCUUGAGAAUUAACGCUCUUCACAUUUGUGUACCAGUUAGGUUUUGUCAUCAAGCUGCUCUGUACUAACCUUACCAAGUUUCGGGCUGGUUCUGAAGCAGUCUGUUCAUAGCUGCUAGCAGAAAGCCCUUCACUAUAGCCUCUGUUAACUGUAGUCCCUGUGCUGAGGCUACUGCUGUGAGCUACACGUGGAGAAAUGAAGGCCUGUCUGAUUUGAUCCUGGGAAUAGCUGCCAUCCAGUCUUCUUAGUCUACCAUCUUGCUGUGGAAAGCCAACAUAUCUGUUACCGUUGCGCAUCUGGGGGCUAUAUGCUGAGAAAUAAAUAGAGUGUAAGCCCACUGUGGUAAUAAAUCACAGCACUAAAAUAACUUUUACACAUACAAAUCCCCCACUUACUUUGUGUAGCCCAUGAACAGCACACAUGCUCUGCUUGAACUAAGAAAAUCAGCAAUAUCCUGCUCAAAAACAAAACAUCAAGGUCAGGAGAAAUGGAAGAACAACGAGGUGUAACAGAACAGCUGCAAAGCAGCACCUUACCCCAAACCAGCUCCACAAGCCCUUCCAGAGUUCCAAAGCAUGCUGCCUUACUCAAAGCAACAGUAACACAAACCCUCUGAAGCUGC